RNAcentral lists this long non-coding RNA (513 nucleotides) under Phoenix dactylifera (date palm). Its description in RNAcentral is "long non-coding RNA (PDAC_LNC022096)". Lineage: Eukaryota; Viridiplantae; Streptophyta; Magnoliopsida; Arecales; Arecaceae. The record is from RNAcentral.
AGAUAACCUCUAAAAGAUACAAAUAUUUAAUAGUAAAAUUUCGAAACAGUUGACUUAGUAUAAAUAUGAUAUUAGACUUGUCGACUUGGCAAGAAAUAGAAAAGAAUAUUUUGGAUCCAAAGUUUAGUUGGCUUGGUUAAAAAAAUCAUUACAAAUAAAAAAAUUAAUUUGUGCUAUAUAAUUUAUUUAUAUGUACUAUGUAGAGAUUAAAUACAAGGUUCUAAUACAUGUCAUAUUUAUAUUAGUUAAAAUAUAUUUUGGUCAAUAAAGUUCAGUUUCUAGGUAGGAUGACGCGGCCUUUAACCGCGUUGACAAAUAUCAAAGGACACAUGCCACGUCAAUUUUUAACUUGUGACGGAAUAAAAAUAGGAAGCAAACCAAUUUAUUAAUUGUGAAGGGCAAUAUGGGAAGAAAUUGUUCCGGUUAGGGACGCGGAGUUUGCUUGAUGACACUUGACAGGGUGGUUCUAUAUACACCCCCCCUAUUGCUCACGACACCCCCCAAAAAUUUAAA